Hordeum vulgare subsp. vulgare (domesticated barley) is the source of this 1118-nucleotide RNA transcript. RefSeq lists it as uncharacterized. The transcript is spliced from 3 exons. NCBI's taxonomy places the organism in Eukaryota, Viridiplantae, Streptophyta, Magnoliopsida, Poales, Poaceae. The record is from RefSeq and is a predicted model, not a curated record.
UCAUUCCAGAGAGGGUGCACGGCAAUAUUGGGCAAGAUCAUAGAGAGAAGAACCAGCCAUGGACACCACCAAGAGGUGCAUUGCCACAGUCAUCGUGCUGAUGCUCUGCCUCCAGCUCCACACCUCCGCGGACGCCCGCCGCCUCUCCUCCGGCGGCGGCGAGAUCCGGCUUCCAAGCGACGGCAAAGAUGAUCCUACUGCUCAAGUCGGGGCGUCAAAGUUGAUCAAGAUAGACGACUCGUUCUAUACCAGCUGUCCGGACGGCAUGGUACUGGAGUGUAUACUCAUUGGAUUCGCCCCUUUUUGCAAGUGCGUGCCUAAAAAGGGUGCCGGCCUCACCGAUGGAUCCAUGCUUCCGAGCGACGGCAGAGGUUCGUGGCCGUGUUUGAAUGAAGGGAAAAUCUAACUAGCCGCGCCGUAUUUCAUGCUUACCGUGCGGCGGCUUGUCCUCAUGCGCGUAUCGCACGCACGACCAGUGAGCCAGCGCAACCGCACACUCCUCAACGCACUGUUGCUAUAGUACACCGCUACUUUCCACGGAAAACGUUCGUACUACCACAGAAUGUGUGAUCACUGUGCCCCAGAAAACAUCAGUGUUUGGCAAAGUACGCAUCGGCAUGGCUCUUUACAGUCAUCAUGUUUUUGCGGUGAUCCUGCUGAUCAAGUCGGGGCGUCAAAGUUGAUCAACAUAGAGGACUCAUUCUAUACCCCCUGUCCGGACGGCAUGGUACAGAAGUGUAUAUUCGUUGGAACCACCCCUUUUUGCGGGUGCGUGCCUAAAAAGGGUGCCGGCCUCACUGAUGGAUCCAUGUCGUCGACGGCGAACAAGCCGGGGAACAAGGACUAGGACGAUGUCGACGUGGGCGCCGGUAACUAGCUAGCAUUUGCGCCCGUACGUGUGCCAUAUACCAUACGUCAAGCAAUGGUAAUAAGGUCCAGCACAUAUGGUAGCAUGGACACCCUUCCCGUCUUAUUGUACUACUAGCUUGUACACAUGUGCGUUUAUAUACAUGUUGUAUUUUUUAGCUCCUGUGUAUGCAUGCUUUUAUACACACAGAUGUACGGAGUAGGAUAUAACCUCCGUUUUAUAUUACUUAUAAUGGAAUAAUGGUUAAUUA